GAUUAAAUGGCUGAAGUUUAGGCGAUAAAUUGUAAAUUUAUUUAUGGGAAAUAAUUCUCUUUAAUCA
Molecule: transfer RNA, 67 nt
Filed under: Anopheles medialis
Lineage: Eukaryota; Metazoa; Arthropoda; Insecta; Diptera; Culicidae
Description: tRNA-Tyr
Rfam family: tRNA
About the family: Transfer RNA (tRNA) molecules are approximately 80 nucleotides in length. Their secondary structure includes four short double-helical elements and three loops (D, anti-codon, and T loops).
Source: RNAcentral